GCGCCCGUAGCUCAGCGGCAGAGCAGCCGACUCAUAAUCGGUGGGUCGCAGGUUCGAACCCUGCCGGGCGCACCA
This 75-nucleotide transfer RNA is filed under the name Bacillota bacterium. RNAcentral's name for it is "tRNA-Ile". It matches the Rfam family "tRNA". Rfam says of the family: Transfer RNA (tRNA) molecules are approximately 80 nucleotides in length. Their secondary structure includes four short double-helical elements and three loops (D, anti-codon, and T loops). Further hydrogen bonds mediate the characteristic L-shaped molecular structure. tRNAs have two regions of fundamental functional importance: the anti-codon, which is responsible for specific mRNA codon recognition, and the 3' end, to which the tRNAs corresponding amino acid is attached (by aminoacyl-tRNA synthetases). tRNAs cope with the degeneracy of the genetic code in two manners: having more than one tRNA (with a specific anti-codon) for a particular amino acid; and 'wobble' base-pairing, i.e. permitting non-standard base-pairing at the 3rd anti-codon position. The record is from RNAcentral. Lineage: Bacteria; Bacillati; Bacillota. RNAcentral also lists the same sequence under 1 other name.